AUGGACGACUACCUCAAGCUACAUCAAGUACCCUCCGAAGUUCAAGCGAAGUGCGCCACAAGUACCUUCCACGACUAUGCAUUGAUUUGGUGGCUUCACACACCUUCGAGGAGCUUCAACAUGAGUUGGUCCAAGAUGAAGAGAGCUUUGCGGCGAGAAUUUGUGCCUUCCACCUACACGGAACAUCUUCAACGCCAAUUGGAGAACACCAUACAAGGAUCCAUGUACCUCAACGAGUACUUCAAGAACAUGAAGGAAGCCUUGCGACGUGCCAGCGUGGACGACCCCAUUUGGAUAAAGUUCUACUUCAUGAUGGGAUUGAACAACAACAUCGCCAAGACUAUCUUCAACAACAACUACGAGUCCCUCGACGGCCUAUACAUUGGUGCUCUCAAGGCGGAGCAAUAA
This 408-nucleotide ribosomal RNA is filed under the name Triticum aestivum (bread wheat). RNAcentral's name for it is "partial small subunit ribosomal RNA". The record is from RNAcentral. Lineage: Eukaryota; Viridiplantae; Streptophyta; Magnoliopsida; Poales; Poaceae.